GACGAACGCUGGCGGCGUGGAUUAGGCAUGCAAGUCGAACGGUAUCAUCCUUUCGGGGGUGAGAGAGUGGCGAACUGGUGAGUAACACGUAGGUUAUCUACCCUCAAGACGGGGACAACCCAGGGAAACUUGGGCUAAUACCGGAUGUGAGCAACUUUUAGUUGUUUGAAAGGUGGCGUAAGCUGUCGCUUGGGGAUGAGCCUGCGUCCUAUUAGUUAGUUGGUGAGGUAACGGCUCACCUAGGCAAUGAUAGGUAGGCGGCCUUAACGGGUGGUCGCCCACACUGGGAUUGAGAUACGGCCCAGACUCCUACGGGAGGCAGCAGUCGAGAAUAGUCUACAAUGGUCGGAAGACUGAUAGUGCGACGCCGCGUGAACGAUGAAUCCCUUCGGGGUGUAAAGUUCUUUUAUAUGUGAGCAGUGCUUCUUAUAUUAACAGUAUGGGGAAGAGAUAUUAGCAUAUGAAUAAGCAACGGCUAACUCCGUGCCAGCCAGCCGCGGUAAAAA
Molecule: ribosomal RNA, 506 nt
Filed under: uncultured bacterium
Lineage: Bacteria
Description: bacterial SSU rRNA
Rfam family: Bacterial small subunit ribosomal RNA
Source: RNAcentral